This 1356-nucleotide ribosomal RNA is filed under the name Vibrio vulnificus. Its description in RNAcentral is "partial 23S ribosomal RNA". It matches the Rfam family "Bacterial large subunit ribosomal RNA", at positions 1611 to 2925 of the family's 2925-position model. Lineage: Bacteria; Pseudomonadati; Pseudomonadota; Gammaproteobacteria; Vibrionales; Vibrionaceae. The record is from RNAcentral.
GGAAAAGCCUCUAAGCUUCAGAUUGUAAGGAAUCGUACCCCAAACCGACACAGGUGGUCGGGUAGAGAAUACCAAGGCGCUUGAGAGAACUCGGGUGAAGGAACUAGGCAAAAUGGUACCGUAACUUCGGGAGAAGGUACGCUCUUGAUGGUGAAGUCCCUUGCGGAUGGAGCUGACGAGAGUCGCAGAUACCAGGUGGCUGCAACUGUUUAUUAAAAACACAGCACUGUGCAAAAUCGUAAGAUGACGUAUACGGUGUGACGCCUGCCCGGUGCCGGAAGGUUAAUUGAUGGGGUUAGCGUAAGCGAAGCUCUUGAUCGAAGCCCCGGUAAACGGCGGCCGUAACUAUAACGGUCCUAAGGUAGCGAAAUUCCUUGUCGGGUAAGUUCCGACCUGCACGAAUGGCGUAAUGAUGGCCACGCUGUCUCCACCCGAGACUCAGUGAAAUUGAAAUCGCUGUGAAGAUGCAGUGUACCCGCGGCUAGACGGAAAGACCCCGUGAACCUUUACUACAGCUUGGCACUGAACAUUGAACCUACAUGUGUAGGAUAGGUGGGAGGCUUUGAAGACGUGACGCCAGUUGCGUUGGAGCCGUCCUUGAAAUACCACCCUUGUAUGUUUGAUGUUCUAACGUUGGCCCCUAAUCGGGGUUGCGGACAGUGCCUGGUGGGUAGUUUGACUGGGGCGGUCUCCUCCCAAAGAGUAACGGAGGAGCACGAAGGUGGGCUAAUCACGGUUGGACAUCGUGAGGUUAGUGCAAUGGCAUAAGCCCGCUUAACUGCGAGAAUGACGGUUCGAGCAGGUGCGAAAGCAGGUCAUAGUGAUCCGGUGGUUCUGAAUGGAAGGGCCAUCGCUCAACGGAUAAAAGGUACUCCGGGGAUAACAGGCUGAUACCGCCCAAGAGUUCAUAUCGACGGCGGUGUUUGGCACCUCGAUGUCGGCUCAUCACAUCCUGGGGCUGAAGUCGGUCCCAAGGGUAUGGCUGUUCGCCAUUUAAAGUGGUACGCGAGCUGGGUUUAGAACGUCGUGAGACAGUUCGGUCCCUAUCUGCCGUGGGCGUUGGAAGAUUGAAGGGGGCUGCUCCUAGUACGAGAGGACCGGAGUGGACGAACCUCUGGUGUUCGGGUUGUGUCGCCAGACGCAUUGCCCGGUAGCUAAGUUCGGAAUCGAUAACCGCUGAAAGCAUCUAAGCGGGAAGCGAGCCCUGAGAUGAGUCUUCCCUGAUACUUUAAGUAUCCUGAAGGGUUGUUCGAGACUAGAACGUUGAUAGGCAGGGUGUGUAAGCGCUGUGAGGCGUUGAGCUAACCUGUACUAAUUGCCCGUGAGGCUUAACCAUACAACACCCAAAGGGUUUUG